This 125-nucleotide ribosomal RNA is filed under the name Agaricus augustus. RNAcentral's name for it is "5.8S ribosomal RNA". It matches the Rfam family "5.8S ribosomal RNA", at positions 31 to 154 of the family's 154-position model. From Rfam's summary of the family: 5.8S ribosomal RNA (5.8S rRNA) is a component of the large subunit of the eukaryotic ribosome. It is transcribed by RNA polymerase I as part of the 45S precursor that also contains 18S and 28S rRNA. Functionally, it is thought that 5.8S rRNA may be involved in ribosome translocation. The record is from RNAcentral. Lineage: Eukaryota; Fungi; Basidiomycota; Agaricomycetes; Agaricales; Agaricaceae.
CAUCGAUGAAGAACGCAGCGAAAUGCGAUAAGUAAUGUGAAUUGCAGAAUUCAGUGAAUCAUCUAAUCUUUGAACGCAUCUUGCGCUCCUUGGUAUUCCGAGGAGCAUGCCUGUUUGAGUGUCAU